CGACCGGCGCACGGGUGAGUAACACGUAUAGCAACCUGGCCGUCACAGGUGGAUAACCGGAAGAAAUUCCGACUAAUACAGCAUAACACUCCUGAGGGACAUCCCUUGGGAGUCAAAGGAGGCAACUCCGGUGACGGAUGGGCAUGCGGCGCAUUAGGUAGUUGGUAGGGUAACGGCCUACCAAGCCGACGAUGCGUAGGGGUUCUGAGAGGAAGGUCCCCCACAUUGGAACUGAGACACGGUCCAAACUCCUACGGAAGGCAGCAG
RNAcentral lists this ribosomal RNA (267 nucleotides) under uncultured bacterium. RNAcentral's name for it is "partial 16S ribosomal RNA". It matches the Rfam family "Bacterial small subunit ribosomal RNA", at positions 92 to 354 of the family's 1533-position model. The record is from RNAcentral.